GACGAAGGGGGCAAGCGUUGUUCGGAAUUACUGGGCGUAAAGGGCGCGUAGGCGGUUCUUUAAGUCAGGCGUGAAAGCCCUGGGCUCAACCUGGGAGUGGCGCUUGAUACUGGAGGACUAGAGAGUGGGAGAGGUUGGUGGAAUUCCUGGUGUAGCGGUGGAAUGCGCAGAUAUCAGGAGGAACACCUAUGGCGAAGGCAGCUCUCUGGUACAUGGCUGACGCUGAGACGCGAAAGCGUGGGUAGCAAACAGG
This 253-nucleotide ribosomal RNA is filed under the name uncultured bacterium. RNAcentral's name for it is "partial 16S ribosomal RNA". It matches the Rfam family "Bacterial small subunit ribosomal RNA", at positions 524 to 776 of the family's 1533-position model. The record is from RNAcentral.